AUACGGAGGGUGCAAGCGUUAAUCGGAAUUACUGGGCGUAAAGCGUACGUAGGCGGUUAUUUAAGUCAGAUGUGAAAGCCCCGGGCUUAACUUGGGAACUGCAUUUGAAACUGGGUAACUAGAGUUUGGUAGAGGGGAGUGGAAUUUCAGGUGUAGCGGUGAAAUGCGUAGAGAUCUGAAGGAACACCAGUGGCGAAGGCGACUCCCUGGACUAAAACUGACGCUGAGGUACGAAAGCGUGGGUAGCAAACAGGAUUAGAAACCCUAGUAGUCC
Molecule: ribosomal RNA, 274 nt
Filed under: uncultured bacterium
Lineage: Bacteria
Description: partial 16S ribosomal RNA
Rfam family: Bacterial small subunit ribosomal RNA
Source: RNAcentral